AGAUUGAACGCUGGCGGCAGGCCUAACACGUGCAAGUCGAGCGGCAGCACGGGUACUUGUACCUGGUGGCGAGCGGCGGACGGGUGAGUAAUGCCUAGGAAUCUGCCUGGUAGUGGGGGAUAACGCUCGGAAACGGACGCUAAUACCGCAUACGUCCUACGGGAGAAAGCAGGGGACCUUCGGGCCUUGCGCUAUCAGAUGAGCCUAGGUCGAUUAGCUAGUGGUGAGGUAUGGCUCACCGAAGGCGACGAUCCGUAACGUGGUCUGAGAGGAUGACUCAGUCACACGUGAACUGACGAC
Molecule: ribosomal RNA, 300 nt
Filed under: uncultured soil bacterium
Lineage: Bacteria
Description: bacterial SSU rRNA
Rfam family: Bacterial small subunit ribosomal RNA
Source: RNAcentral